AGCCUUUUCAAAUUUUCCAGGAAAUUGGUGGCUUCUUCCCCUAUGUUCCUAUUGCCCUUUGGGAAAAGCUUGGUUAUAGCACUUAGGAUUUACAUUUUAAUGAUUUUUUCUGUGUCUUUCUUUUCAGCCAGGCUGUGAGUUCUCUGAGGCAGCCAACUUGAUUCAUCUUUGUAUCUUUACAGCAUGAUAGCUUAACAAAUGCCGAAUGGCUGGCUAAAGAAUCAGAAUUGAGACUUCAGCUGUUUGACUCCAGCUGCUAACCUCUAGACUGUUAAGGGUAUUUGAGCUUAUACUCUAUAAACAGAAUUCAGAAUCCUCCGGAGGCCCACCCAGCCCACUUCAUCCAGCCUCUGUGUCCUGGGAGGUCUUUACAUGUGAGAACGGUAAGGCCUAAGCCUCACAGAAGAGAAGACCAGCUGUGUAAAAAUUAACUAAUGAAGUCCAGGAUCAUAGAAAUAGAAUUGUGGUAUGUGGUUACUUCUCUUCAUGAAGAUUUACUAUCUAACCUGAACAGACAUGCUGCUGUGUGACAGGAAUUUAUUUACUGUUCAAACCUGACCUUUUCCCGUGUGGUGGGAGAUUGCAUUACACUGGGUGGCUUGGAGAUUUAUUGUCUCUGUUUGGCUGCAGUGGCAUUUCCUGACUAUUGGCUGCUGAGACCCUCCUAAACUCAAGCACAGAAAAUCCUGACCUCAAAGUCCCUCCUCCAACUGGGGGCAGAUUUCUUGAGGGCAAAGUAUUAAUAGAUUUAAAGGACAAGUUUGCAUGGAAGCAAGUGAAAGCACAGGGGACAGUGUAAUGAUAAAAACACACAGGUUGCCUUCUCACCUCCCAUGCAAACUAAGACAGAUAAGUUCAAGCAGGCUUGAGACCCCGGGAACCCUGCAGGCAGGUGGCAGAUGCAAGAUCUGAAACCACAAGGAAAUGAAAUAGGACUCCUCUCUCCCUCGCCCCCUCCUUAAUUGUCUCUCUACUCCAUAUCUAGGUCACAGCAUCAGUUUUCCAAACCAGAGAAGAGUCUCAAAGUGUCUUCUGCAAAUGGCACCAAUCUCAGGUGUUACUCAUGCCUUUCUGAGAAAAUGUCUUGAAUAUUUCAUCAAAUGUGAGGGGAAAAAUCCAUAAAUGUGAGCAUAUUUUUAUUGUAAACAACUUGUUACACAACUGUUAUUGAAUUCUUCUAAUGGAGCAAGGUCCUCUGUGACUUUGGUUUUCACUAUUACUCAGAUCCUUUGUGGCUUUGGUUUUCACAAGCUCUCUAUCCCCAAAUCUCUCCACUGGAAGAACUUUUAGUUUCCCUAAGUUCCCAUGGCUGAAUUCACGGGAUUUGAAGGUACAGAAGCAUCUCUCACUUGCCAGCAACUGCGAGUUUCCAAAAUAGCCCUUUGAUGAGGGCCUGAUUCCCACUGUCAUACAUUAACACUUCAGAGGUAGUAUUUCCUAUUCCUGCAACUUGCUCUGAGCCUUGGGAAAAUUACUUAACCUCCCUGGGCCUUUUUUCUCAUCUGUAGUAAAGGAAUAAUAAUAUCUACUUUGUGGGUCAUUGUGGAGAUAUAUGUUAUAAGGUUCUGUUUGUACUAUCUAGCACAGAGCAAGCCCAUAUAUAAUGCCUAUUAUAAUUACUUUCCUUAAAAUUAUAUGACGACCCUACGUAACUAAAGUCAGGAGGUGCUAUUACAGUGAAUGGUUACAGACCUGAAUAAC
RNAcentral lists this long non-coding RNA (1701 nucleotides) under Homo sapiens (human). RNAcentral describes it as "HSALNT0368924". Lineage: Eukaryota; Metazoa; Chordata; Mammalia; Primates; Hominidae. The record is from RNAcentral.